AGUGAUGUUAGAGAAGAGCUGGAUGCAGCGCGUGCCUCGGGGCGGCCCAGGGCAGCUCUGCUGGUGGGAAUCACCUGAGCUGCUGUCACAAAUGGGGGGCAGCGGGGGACAGUGUGAGAAAUGGGUCAGAAUGAAAACCCCAGAAGACACAGAAGUGUGGUGUCUGUUGAUGUGCUGAUUAUUUCAAGUAGAAUACAAAAUCCAGUUGCUGAUCCUCCAGAGCCCCUCAUUCAUUCCGCAUGCAGGGCACUCCUGUCUGAGCCACGCUGGAGCCUGUAGGUCCGUGCACACAGAACUGGGCUGGUGACCCUGCUUGUUGUUGGCAGCUGCUGGGAGACACCAUGGGAGUUGAACCAUUGGAGUUCAAAUGAACCUGAAAUUGAAAACCAGUUUUUGAAAUAAUAUUGAAUUCAACUCUUGAUGCUGACUGCUAAGGAGAAAGUGCUCUUGGCGUUGCAUUGCUGAAAUGUGACAAAUGCACGCUGGGGUAGGAAAACAACAAAACAGGGCUGAGUUGAUGUAAAAAGAGGUAAAUCAACAUAAAUGGGAAACGCUUCAAUGCUAGCAUUUAUUCAAAAGGUUUUCGCCAGGACGUUGAGCCUCACACAUUAAUAAGAGGCUGUAACAAGGAAAUCAAGAUACACAAUGUGUUUUUCAUAAAUGAAAUCGUUGGCUUCUUUAACCGAAACUUUAAUAGGUGCAAUAUAUAAUUGCAGUGCCUUAUAGGAAUUUCUUACCAAGAGCGUUUUUUGAGCAGCCGCUAAAAAGCAGCAAUCAGUAACAGAAAUGAGGGCAUUAGCACUCAGACCAGAGUAAAAGCAUCAUUAAAGUGUAAGUUCUAAGGUACACUACUUUAAAUUUCCCUCAUUACGUCUGCAAUUAGGGAAUAAACAAUAAAGCAAUGAUUAUUUUUUCUGUG
Long non-coding RNA from Gallus gallus (chicken), 919 nucleotides. NCBI's taxonomy places the organism in Eukaryota, Metazoa, Chordata, Aves, Galliformes, Phasianidae. The record is from Ensembl.